This 5943-nucleotide long non-coding RNA is filed under the name Brassica rapa (field mustard). Its description in RNAcentral is "long non-coding RNA (BRAP_LNC004259)". The record is from RNAcentral. Lineage: Eukaryota; Viridiplantae; Streptophyta; Magnoliopsida; Brassicales; Brassicaceae.
UAUGGACAAAUCAACAUCCAGAGAUCCUCCCCUUCUAGGAGGUAUUUUAUAUUUACAAGUUCCUUUUUGAAUCAAAAAAUUAUUAGUAUUGAUAUAUUAAUUUAAUACUUAAAUCUAAGGUAGAUUUUCUUUCAGAUAGUAGUGAUUUUUUGUAUUUAAAAAUACAAAUUAUGAACCGUAUUAAUUUUACAACAACAUAUUUAUAUUAUACAUUUUUAAAAUAAAACAUCAUUAAUAUUUAUUAUUCAACCAAUAAUAAAAUAUAAUGUAUACUAAAUAACUGAUUUGACAUAAUGUUGACAUUACUUCGUAGAGUUCCUUUUUAUUAUAUUUAAAUCCAACAAAAUAAUUAAAAAUUAACACUUCCAAAUACUCAUGCUACGUCCUUUUGAUGGGCAAUAAAAAACAAACAAACAAACUAUCUUCACUUCAAAAUAAAAAUUAAAUUAAAUUUUGGUCACUCCAAAUACAUAUUCUUUAAUUAUAUUAAAUUAAAUGAAAGAAAUCCAAUUUUUUUUAAAAACAAACAAAUUAUAACUAUGUUCACUUCAAAAAAUUAAAAAAAAAGGUCAAUAAAAAAUAAAUCACACUGUUAUCUGUGCAAAUCAUGCAGCCGAAGAUCACAAUAACAAGAACAACAACCUCGGACCACAACCAAUAAUCGCUAGGACCAUUAGGAUGUGGCUCAUCACAAAUCACAAAAACAAAAAUGCUUUCUUAUGAACAACUUUCAUUUGUCUUGACAUCCAGGUUUGUCUAAAAAAUACUAUGUUUUUAUUCUUUCCAACUACAUAUGAAAUGAUUGCUUUAAACCACUCAACAGGAACAGAAAAUGGAAGGGAGGGUGCCUAUGUCUACGUCGGACAAAAUGUACCAACGGUUCGAAAAAGGGAAAAUUUAUCACAUUAGAUAUUUUAAUCUCCUUCCCAAUAACCAACGGUACAGUCUUACAGUUCAACCCUACAUAAUCAAUAUCAAUGAGACAACAAUUAUUACACAGAUUGAAGAAAACAUUCCACCAAUACCUUCAUACAUAUUUCGGCCCCAACGCUACCCCCAAUUGAUCAGCUUAGCAAGUGCAACCAAUUUCUUCCCAGGUAAAAAAAAAACCAUUGUCGGGGUCUCGCAAACAAAUAAAUUCUCUUUUUCCUCACUAUAAAAAAAUAUUAUCAGAGAUGUUGUUGGUCGAAUAUGCCCAUCCAAGGAAGUGAUUUAUAUAACAAGAACACAUAUUCCAAGAUCUUUGUUGGAUUGCAUUUACACAGGUACUAACACUUUAUUAAAUAAUAUUUAUUUUAACUAAUAAAUAUAUAAUACAAUUAUUUUUAGUAGAUCCAAAAUGGUACGUCUAACUAUCUGGGACAAUGAGACGGCAAAUUUCAGGGAGCUAAAUCACAUAUCUACCAGAAAAAACCAAAUCGUAAUCAUCACAAAUAUCAUUCCACGGUUACAUGAAGGUAAUAAACUAAACAUAAUAUUUACGUCAAAAUAAAUGCUUACAAAUAUUUCACUUUUACAGGGAAACUAUCACUCACAACCACACCUGGAUCGCGCUUUUACUUCGACACCGACAUUGAUAUCAUACAACGCUUCCAAAAGAGGAAUAAACUGCUAUACUAAGCUUGAAGCCAUAACUCCACAUGGGAUGAACAACAAGACAUCAAACGACACCGGUCAACUGUUUUAAAAUUUAAAUUACUGCUUUCUACGUCAAUUAAAAAUGUCCACUCAUAUACUCUUUUAUCCUAAAAAAAUUGUUUGCUCAACCUAAUAUAUUAUUCAAAUUUACUAUAUGGUUCAUUCUACAAUACACAAAAAAUAACUUCCAAUUUCUAGAACUUAAAAAUACCAAAAAUUAAAAGUUUACUUCAAUUGAACAUGUUAUCCGCGCGUAGCGCGGACCCGGCUCUAGUUCAAUUUAAUCAAUGCUAAAAGAAAGCAAUAUGAUUAAAAGAAGAAGAUUAAAAAAUUAAGAAGCCUCAUUUGAGAUGAAUUGUUAUUUAAUUAUAUUUUAACCGCUUUUCAAAUUAGGAUUCUUUAUUACUAUAAAACUAUGGUAAUAAUUAUUAGCAAAAUCAUAACUUAUAUAAAAAUAGAUUUUCAUGUGACGUUAUAAAAGAUGUACAUAUUUACAUGUUUCUACUUUUGAUCGGUUUUGUUCGGUUUAUUCGGUUUAAUUGGUUAUAAACCAAACCAUAUCCAAAUCCUACAGUUUUUAUAAAAUCAUAUCUAGGGCUGGGCAUAAAAUCCGAAACCCGAAAUCCGAACCGAAUCCGAACCGAAACACCCGAUCCGUACCCGAUCCGAAAUGUAAAAAAUACCUCAAUAGAUCUUAUAGGAUGUUACAAAACAUAUUCAAACCCGAAGUGUUAUUAACCGAACCCGAACGGGUAACCCAAAAACCCAAAAAAAUAUCCGAAGAAACCGAUUCGAAUGUCCAAAUUAAUAUAUAAUAUAAAUAUUUGAAACAUAAAUAUGUACUUCAAAUAUUCAAUUUCAUAUUUAUUUGGAUAUGAUAUAAAAUUUAAAUAAACACCUUAAAUACUUCAUUAUAUACAAAGAAGGAUAUAUUUCUUAUGUUUUACUUUUAAAUUUUAGAUUUUACUUUGGAUAUACCCGAAUUAUCCAAUAUAACCCAAAUCCGAAUGAUAUAUGGUUACUUCGGACAUAUCCGAACCGAUCCGAAACCGAAGUGUUAUAUUCGAAUCCAAUCCGUACUUGUAAAUUUACUAGAAUGGGACCUAAGUGGUGUUACAAAAUGGAACCAAAAUCCGAAAAACCCGAUCCGAACCCGAACGCCCAGGUUUAAUCAUAUCCAUUCGGUUUAUAUGGUAUAUACCAAAACCACACCAUAUUGUCAAUUUUGGUUCGGUUCGGUUUGGUACGGUUCGGUUUUACCAUAUUGGACAGGCCUAACGCUGAUGCAAACCGAACCAUGAAAAAUUAGGAAUACUAUAAUGCAAAAAGUGUCAAGUAUCAUUUGUCUAGAUUUGAACUUAGAGCAUCUCUAAUGAUACACUAUUUUUCCAUCUAUAAUUUACACUAAAAUAGAGUAACUCUAUUAGACCAUCUCUAAUGAUUCAUCAUAUUUUUCAUUCUAAAAUAGAAUAACUCUGUAAUAGAGUUGUGAUAUACUUCAAUGGUACUAUAUUUAAAGUGGAAAAUAGAACGAUGAACAAAAAAAAACAACUUAAUCUAUAUAUAGAGUAAACCUAUUUUUUAUUCUACUAUAGAGUAAAAAUAGAGUACCAUUGAAGCAUUUUUACUCUAAACUCUAUUUUAGAAUGAAAAAAUAAAGUGGAGUUGAAAAUGCUCUUAUAGAAUAAUUUUUGCUCCAAUGGUAUUACGUUAUAGAGUUACUCUAUUAUAGAGUAAAAUAUAAAGGAACGUCACAUAUUUACUAUUAAAAUAGACUAAAAUGUGACUUUCAUUUAUAUUGCAGUUUAUAAUAGAGUAUUACCAUUGUAGCAAAAUUACUUGAUAAUAGAGUUACAAUAUUUUAGUUUAAGUUAUAGAAGAAAAAAUAGUGUGCCAUUGGAGAUGGUCUUAGCAUUCCGCUAACGCAAUUUAGUAGUCAAUAGAAAGGAAACAUUAUAGCAACUGUAGGCCGGCCUUGACAAAAUCUAAAAUAAUUUGGGUUGGAAGCACAAACUUGUACAAAAAUAAUUGGUUCAAUAAGUUGCUUAGACAUUUGGAUCUAGCACAUUUAGAAAGACAUUCACAAGAUUUAACCAACUGAGUUAAAAAAAAAUAGGCCAAAAAGUUGUAUAUUUUAUGUAGGGCCAUAUUUUAGAUUUAAAAGAAGCUAAAUUGAGAGCUUAUAAGGGAUGCCACAUGGGCAAAAUAAUCCCCACCAAUCAUACUACCAUGUCACUGGUGGAUUGGGCUUCCAAUUAAAAUUGCAAUAAAAGAUUUGGACUUGGUUUUGAUUACAAAAUUGGCUACAGUGAGUGGGGUUCAAAUUAAAGUUGCUUUGGUUACAAAAUUGGCUACAACAAGUGAGCUUCGAAUUAAAAGAAUGAGGUUCGAAUUAAAAUUGCUUUAGUUUGGUUUGGUUACAGCGAGUGGGCUUCGAAUUAAAAGAACAAUCUCGCAGCCCAGUCCAUUAAUUAUGUGUACCUGUUAAUUAUUCACUAAGAACACGUAAACAAAUUGCAAUGCAUGCAAACAAUAAGGAAUACGUCCUUUACGAGUUGCCUUAUAAUAAAACAAAUGCAUGCAUGAAUUGAUUUUUGUUGAGCUGUUAAUUAUUAGAUAGACUUCUAGCUAUACACUUCUAAAUCAAAAACGAUUUCACCAAGUUUAACUGGCCCCAUAGUAAUAUUCUUCUAGCAAAAAAUCUUCUUGCAUUCACUAAGAAGUAAAUAACAUAUAUUCUGCCAUUAAUACAAAAAACAAAAGAUAUGGAAACAAAACCAUAAUGUUAAUCAAAAUAUAUAUUCAAGCUUUGACUCUACGCUCACCAUAACAUUUAUCCGUCGUCUCUCCCUCUGCAGAAAAUCAGUCUAAGUUAUUCAACCUAAUCAGUGUAAGCUAUUCAAACGAUUAGUCUAUAGCAUUGGUAUUCCGUUUAAGUUAUCAACAUCUGCACGUAGAUACAAAAUCCCACGAGAAAACCUCCUAACGUCAUUUGGUAAGAAAUCGUCUACGAUCAACCAGCUCUACCCCUUCGUCGCAAAAGCCAAUUAGGUAACCUUUUUUUUUGGUGGUCGAUCUGAACAAUCAUUUUAAUAUUCUUCAUUUUGUUUAAAGAAGUGCUGAUCUCAACACUAUGGACAAAUCAACAUCCAGAGAUCCUCCCCUUCUAGGAGGUAUUUUAUAUUUACAAGUUCCUUUUUGAAUCAAAAAAUUAUUAGUAUUGAUAUAUUAAUUUAAUACUUAAAUCUAAGGUAGAUUUUCUUUCAGAUAGUAGUGAUUUUUUGUAUUUAAAAAUACAAAUUAUGAACCGUAUUAAUUUUACAACAACAUAUUUAUAUUAUACAUUUUUAAAAUAAAACAUCAUUAAUAUUUAUUAUUCAACCAAUAAUAAAAUAUAAUGUAUACUAAAUAACUGAUUUGACAUAAUGUUGACAUUACUUCGUAGAGUUCCUUUUUAUUAUAUUUAAAUCCAACAAAAUAAUUAAAAAUUAACACUUCCAAAUACUCAUGCUACGUCCUUUUGAUGGGCAAUAAAAAACAAACAAACAAACUAUCUUCACUUCAAAAUAAAAAUUAAAUUAAAUUUUGGUCACUCCAAAUACAUAUUCUUUAAUUAUAUUAAAUUAAAUGAAAGAAAUCCAAUUUUUUUUAAAAACAAACAAAUUAUAACUAUGUUCACUUCAAAAAAUUAAAAAAAAAGGUCAAUAAAAAAUAAAUCACACUGUUAUCUGUGCAAAUCAUGCAGCCGAAGAUCACAAUAACAAGAACAACAACCUCGGACCACAACCAAUAAUCGCUAGGACCAUUAGGAUGUGGCUCAUCACAAAUCACAAAAACAAAAAUGCUUUCUUAUGAACAACUUUCAUUUGUCUUGACAUCCAGGUUUGUCUAAAAAAUACUAUGUUUUUAUUCUUUCCAACUACAUAUGAAAUGAUUGCUUUAAACCACUCAACAGGAACAGAAAAUGGAAGGGAGGGUGCCUAUGUCUACGUCGGACAAAAUGUACCAACGGUUCGAAAAAGGGAAAAUUUAUCACAUUAGAUAUUUUAAUCUCCUUCCCAAUAACCAACGGUACAGUCUUACAGUUCAACCCUACAUAAUCAAUAUCAAUGAGACAACAAUUAUUACACAGAUUGAAGAAAACAUUCCACCAAUACCUUCAUACAUAUUUCGGCCCCAACGCUACCCCCAAUUGAUCAGCUUAGCAAGUGCAACCAAUUUCUUCCCAGGUAAAAAAAAAACCAUUGUCGGGGUCUCGCAAACAAAUAAAUUCUCUUUUUCCUCACUAUAAAAAAAUAUUAUCAG